This 272-nucleotide ribosomal RNA is filed under the name uncultured bacterium. Its description in RNAcentral is "partial 16S ribosomal RNA". It matches the Rfam family "Bacterial small subunit ribosomal RNA", at positions 78 to 354 of the family's 1533-position model. The record is from RNAcentral.
CUUAUGAUGGCGACCGGCGCACGGGUGCGUAACGCGUAUGCAACCUACCUUUUACAGGGGCAUAACACUGAGAAAUUGGUACUAAUUCCCCAUAAUAUCUGAGACGGCAUCGUUUUGGGUUGAAAACUCCGGUGGUAAAAGAUGGGCAUGCGUUGUAUUAGCUAGUUGGUGAGGUAACGGCUCACCAAGGCGACGAUACAGUAGGGGGACUGAGAGGUUAACCCCCCACAUUGGUACUGAGACACGGACCAAACUCCUACGGAAGGCAGCAG